CCUACGGGAGGCAGCAGUGAGGAAUAUUGGUCAAUGGUCGGGAGACUGAACCAGCCAAGCCGCGUGAGGGAUGAAGGUACAGAGUAUCGUAAACCUCUUUUGUCAGGGAACAAAGGCGGGGACGUGUCCCCGGUUGAGUGUACCUGAAGAAAAAGCAUCGGCUAACUCCGUGCCAGCAGCCGCGGUAAUACGGAGGAUGCGAGCGUUAUCCGGAUUUAUUGGGUUUAAAGGGUGCGCAGGGGGUUGGUAAAGUCAGCGGUAAAAGCCCGGGGCUCAACCGCAGCCCGCCAUUGAAACUGGCAGUCUCGAGUUGGAGAGAGGUAUGCGGAAUGCGCGGUGUAGCGGUGAAAUGCAGAGAUAGCGCGCAGAACUCCGAUUGCGAAGGCAGCAUGCCGGCUCCACACUGACGCUGAGGCACGAAAGCGUGGGUAUCGAACAGGAUUAGAUACCCCGGUAGUC
This 459-nucleotide ribosomal RNA is filed under the name uncultured bacterium. Its description in RNAcentral is "partial 16S ribosomal RNA". It matches the Rfam family "Bacterial small subunit ribosomal RNA", at positions 338 to 795 of the family's 1533-position model. The record is from RNAcentral.